Molecule: ribosomal RNA, 2509 nt
Filed under: Diacamma sp. Okinawa-2006a
Lineage: Eukaryota; Metazoa; Arthropoda; Insecta; Hymenoptera; Formicidae
Description: bacterial LSU rRNA
Rfam family: Bacterial large subunit ribosomal RNA
Source: RNAcentral
GGGAGUUAAGAAGAGCGUAUGGUGGAUGCCUAGGCACUUACAGGCGAAGAAGGACGCAGCAAACAGCGAAAUGCUACGGUAAGCGGUAAGCACGCGUAAAGAGCCGUAGAUCUCCGAAUGGGGGAACCCGCUUAUCAAGAGAUAAGGAUUGUAAAGUGAAUACAUAGCUUUAUAAGGCAAGACCCAGGGAAGUGAAACAUCUCAGUACCUGGAGGAAAAGAAAAUAAGAAUGAUUCCCAGAGUAGCGGCGAGCGGAAUGGGAAGAGCCCAAACCGAUAUACAUGUAUAUCGGGGUUGUAGGACCUUUAAGAAGAGAAAAAAGGGAUAGAGUAGACGAAAUGGUUGGGAAGCCAUACCGGAGAAGGUGAGAGUCCAGUAGUUGAAGGUUUAUCCACUCAAGAAGGCACCUGAGUAGGUCGGAACACGAGGAAUUCCGAUUGAAGCAUCGAGGACCAUCUCGAAAGGCUAAAUACGAGUAAGUGACCGAUAGUGAACCAGUACCGUGAGGGAAAGGUGAAAAGAACCCAGGAAUGGGAGUGAAAAGAACCUGAAACCAUAUGCUUACAAGAAGUUAGAGUCCGUUAAGGGAUGAUAGCGUGCUUUUUGUAGAAAGAGCCGGCGAGUUAUGAUGUAGUGCAAGGUUAAGUUGAAGAGACGGAGCCGAAGCGAAAGCGAGUGAGAAAAGCGCGAGAGAGUAGUAUGUCAUAGACCCGAAGCUGUGUGAUCUAGCCAUGUGCAGGAUGAAGUUAAGGUAAUACUUAAUGGAGGACCGAACCGACUCAUGUUGAAAAAUGAGCGGAUGACGUGUGGCUAGAGGUGAAAUUCUAAUCGAACACAGUAAUAGCUGGUUCUCCCCGAAAUAGCUUUAGGGCUAGCCUAUGUUGAUAUGAGGUGGAGGUAGAGCACUGAAUGUGUGAUGGGGCCAACUCGGCUUACUGAAUACAAUCAAACUCCGAAUGCCAUUGAUAUAAGACAUGGAGUCAGACUAUGGGUGAUAAGGUCCAUAGUCGAAAGGGAAACAGCCCAGACCGACAGCUAAGGUCCCAAAGUGUGUGUUAAGUGGGAAAGGAAGUGGAAACGCAGAGACAACGAGGAGGUUGGCUUAGAAGCAGCCAUCCUUGAAAGAGUGCGUAAAAGCUCACUCGUCGAGUGAUUCUGCGCCGAAAAUGUAACGGGGCUAAAACAGACCACCGAAGCUUCGGAAUUAUGAAAAUAAUUGGUAGGGGAGCGUUCUCAUUGGGAAGAAGGCAUACCGGAAGGAGUGCUGGACAGAUGAGAAGUGAGAAUGCCGGCGUGAGUAGCGCAAGUGAGGAAAGAAACCUCACCGUCGCAAGUCCAAGGUUUCCUCUGGAAGGUUUGACCGCAGAGGGUUAGUCGGGACCUAAGGCGAGGCCGAAAGGCGUAGUCGAUGGAAGACAGGUAGAUAUUCCUGUACUAUGAUAGUUUGUAUGACGAUGGAGUGACGAAGAAGGUGAAAGACGCUAACGGAAAGGAAGCGUUAGUCUAAGCAAUGAGUUUGGUAUGUAGGGAAAUCCGCAUACUGGGAAGAAUGAGUUGUGAUGGGGAAACACAGCGAUGUGUGAAGGUGAAGGUAGCCAAGCUUCCAAGAAAAGCUUCUAAGGAGAAGUAUCAUACCCGUACCGAGAACCGACACAGGUGGACGAGGAGAGUAUCCUCAGACGAACGGAAGAACUCUCGUUAAGGAACUCGGCAAAAUGACUCCGUAACUUCGGGAGAAGGAGUGCUUCCUCAAGAGAUUGAGAAGUCGCAGAGAAACGGCCCAAGCGACUGUUUAUCAAAAACACAGCUCUCUGCAAAGUCGCAAGACGAAGUAUAGGGGGUGACGCCUGCCCGGUGCUGGAAGGUUAAGAGGAGUUGUCAGAAGCAAUUCGAAGCAAUGAAUUGAAGCCCCAGUAAACGGCGGCCGUAACAAUAACGGUCCUAAGGUAGCGAAAUUCCUUGUCGGGUAAGUUCCGACCCGCACGAAAGGCGUAACGAUUUGGGCGCUGUCUCAACGAGAGAUCCGGUGAAAUCUUAGUACCUGUGAAGAUGCAGGUUACCCGCGACAGGACGAAAAGACCCCAUGGAGCUUUACUGUAGCUUGAUAUUGCUCUUUGAUGUAGAAUGUACAGGAUAGGUAGGAGAUGGAGAAGAUUGGACGCAAGUCUAGUUGGAGUCGAUGUUGGGAUACUACCCUUUGUGCAUUGAAGAACUAACGUGUUACCAUGAACUGGUAAGCGGACAGUGUCUGGUGGGCAGUUUGACUGGGGCGGUCGCCUCCUAAAAGGUAACGGAGGCGCCCCAAGGUUCCCUCAGAAUGGAUGGAAAUCAUUUAGAGAGUGUAAAGGCAGAAGGGAGCUUGACUGCGAGACAGACAAGUCGAGCAGGGACGAAAGUCGGGCUUAGUGAUCUGGCGGUGCUGAAUGGAAGGGCCGUCACUCAACGGAUAAAAGCUACCCUGGGGAUAACAGGCUUAUCUCCCCCAAGAGUUCGUCGCGAGAUAGCAGGA